UGCAAGUCGAGCGAAGUCCGGACUUAGUGGCGCACGGGUGCGUAACGCGUGGGAAUCUGCCCUGGGUACGGAAUAACUCAGAGAAAUUUGUGCUAAUACCGUAUAAUGACUUCGGUCCAAAGAUUUAUCGCCCAAGGAUGAGCCCGCGUAAGAUUAGCUGGUUGGUGGGGUAAAAGCCUACCAAGGCGACGAUCUUUAGCUGGUCUGAGAGGAUGAUCAGCCACACUGGGACUGAGACACGGCCCAGACUCCUACGGGAGGCAGCAGUGGGGAAUAUUGGACAAUGGGCGAAAGCCUGAUCCAGCAAUGCCGCGUGAGUGAUGAAGGCCUUAGGGUUGUAAAGCUCUUUUACCCGGGAUGAUAAUGACAGUACCGGGAGAAUAAGCUCCGGCUAACUCCGUGCCAGCAGCCGCGGUAAUACGGAGGGAGCUAGCGUUGUUCGGAAUUACUGGGCGUAAAGCGCGCGUAGGCGGUUUUUUAAGUCAGAGGUGAAAGCCCAGUGCUCAACACUGGAACUGCCUUUGAAACUGGAAAACUUGAAUCUUGGAGAGGUCAGUGGAAUUCCGAGUGUAGAGGUGAAAUUCGUAGAUAUUCGGAAGAACACCAGUGGCGAAGGCGACUGACUGGA
Molecule: ribosomal RNA, 628 nt
Filed under: uncultured Alphaproteobacteria bacterium
Lineage: Bacteria; Pseudomonadati; Pseudomonadota; Alphaproteobacteria
Description: bacterial SSU rRNA
Rfam family: Bacterial small subunit ribosomal RNA
Source: RNAcentral